CUACGGAGGGGGUUAGCGUUGUUCGGAAUUACUGGGCGUAAAGCGUACGUAGGCGGACUGGAAAGUUGGGGGUGAAAUCCCGGGGCUCAACCCCGGAACUGCCUCCAAAACUUCCAAUCUAGAGAUCGAGAGAGGUGAGUGGAAUUCCAAGUGUAGAGGUGAAAUUCGUAGAUAUUUGGAGGAACACCAGUGGCGAAGGCGGCUCACUGGCUCGAUUCUGACGCUGAGGUACGAAAGCGUGGGGAGCAAACAGGAUUAGAAACCCUAGUAGUCC
RNAcentral lists this ribosomal RNA (274 nucleotides) under uncultured bacterium. RNAcentral's name for it is "partial 16S ribosomal RNA". It matches the Rfam family "Bacterial small subunit ribosomal RNA", at positions 523 to 796 of the family's 1533-position model. The record is from RNAcentral.